GUCCAUUUCAAUUUCGAUUCCAAUCUGCUUAAAUCUUCCUCAACCAAUUGCCCUAAGAAUGUCGCCAGUAGAUUUAUUCUUCGCCGCUCUCGCCCCCUUUUCUCAGGUUUAAUCUUAUGCAUGCAUUUUUAUGUAAAAUAAUACUGGAUGUUGUUGCUUUUGAUUUUACCCCUUUUCUGGGAAAAAUUUCAGCUGGAUGUGGUUGUGGUAGAAAGUACUACCAUUCAACACCAGCGAUCUCACAAGGUCUACUGAGCAGCAGGGCCCCAAGAAGAACACUUGGUGCGAAUAAAUAUUCGACAGUUACUUGUGCAAGGAAGGCCGAGCA
This 328-nucleotide long non-coding RNA is filed under the name Salvia miltiorrhiza (redroot sage). Its description in RNAcentral is "long non-coding RNA (SMIL_LNC005648)". Lineage: Eukaryota; Viridiplantae; Streptophyta; Magnoliopsida; Lamiales; Lamiaceae. The record is from RNAcentral.